UUUCUUUUCCAUCACCAUUUCACAAUCAUUUUUAAUUCAACUUCAUUUCAAUUCAUUAUCCAUUCAAAGCCAAUUCCAAAAAGCACAAAUCACAAUUCUCGAUUUAACAUCGAGUCCAUUUUAAAACACCCUUGUAAGUCGAUUGCUCUUCGCAUCGCCAUCAACCUCACAUAGCUUACUCUUGGGCUUUCUUACAAUGAAGCCUACUUGGUUAUUGACUAAUCGAGUAGAUGAAAUAAUACACUAAAUAAAAA
Molecule: long non-coding RNA, 254 nt
Filed under: Lathyrus oleraceus (garden pea)
Lineage: Eukaryota; Viridiplantae; Streptophyta; Magnoliopsida; Fabales; Fabaceae
Description: Pisum sativum (pea) long non-coding RNA (PSAT_LNC039169)
Source: RNAcentral